GCUGCCAUAUUUGGAUUUAUGACAUUCAAAAGGGGAUCCUACGGCAUAGAGUAAACUGCAUGCUCAUUUUUCUACAAUACUUUGAUUCUUCUACUGGACGCAAGAUGGAGUUAGCAGUCAAAUUUCGAUCUUGGCGUUAUAAAAGUAAACCGCAAGAACAUGACAUGCAGUUGCGUGGGUGUAGAUCUAUCAUGAAACGAACAUGUGACAAUUGUCUAUGAUUAAAAAAAUAAUUGACAAAUAAUAAUAUAAAGCGAUACAAUACUACUUCAAAAUGGCAAAAAGAAAACAGAUUUAUUAUAAACAUACUUACAAAUCAUAUAGGUAAAAAGUAUAAUUUUUAAACCAAUGGUCGUGGGUCCUAACCCCGGCUAUUAACAAUGACUUUGUUGUAACUAUCUUAACCAAUUGCUUUUCUGUGAAGUAAAAUAAUUAUCAUGAGGAAGAUGGAGUAGCCACAAUAAGGUAUAUAUUUUUCCCCUCUGGGUUAGAUGGCAGGGAGAGAUAGUGGAGAAAGCGGCAAAAUAAGCAUUUAUUGUGUUGUUAAAAGCCCUAAGCCAUGAGCCAGGGUAUGUGAGGUGCAUGAUUACUUGAUUAGGGGCUAAACUCUGGAAAACCGGACCUUCGGCGACUAGCUGCCAACUUUCCCAACUCACUUUUACAUCAGCUCCUUUGAUUAAUAAAUUCAGGUAAAAUUCGUAAGAACUAAGUGCCUGUGCCAUUCUCUACAUUGGACGCUAUGCCUAAUUAGUUGUUAUUGAUGUUGAAUUUUCAGUGGCAUAUAAGACACCGGUCGUAUAACGACUUAGAAAUUUGGAUGUUUUCAGUUUGAAUGAAUAGCAAACUGGAGAGUUUUUGAUUAAUUUAAAACUUAUUAUUUUAGGUAUUUUGUGACGAAAGGUCUUCACAGACAUCGACAGAAAAUCGGGAAAGCCCGGCCAGAUGCGUCAGACCACGCAAAAUGGAGGAUUCCAUGCCUACUUGUCUUCUUCUACCAUGUAUAGGAACGCAUGAAAAACGAAAGUUUAAAAGAUAAUAAAUUUACGAUGGCUGUGGGAAAGCAACAAUAAUUUAAAGCAUCGAUAUAAGAUAAUCAUCUAUAAACUGUUUUCGGCCAUAGCGAAUACGUUUACCGCUAAGAAUGUCUCAAAGUAAAAAAAAGAAGUUCAAUAUACUGGCAUUGGUUUCACCAAGAACGAUGAGCGAGAAGCGAUUAGAAAUAUAAAACUGGAAACGAGUUGGGGCGUCCGGCUGCGACCGAAGCGAGUUUUUGAAUGCGAGUUUGACGUUUUAAACACCGUAUUUAAGGUUAAUAAGGUCUACAAGCUUCGAGAAGGAGGUCAACCGCCGAAUCCAACUUGGUUGGGCAGCGUUCGGGAAACUACGUAAUGUCUUUUCGUCCGACAUACCUCAGUGCCUCAAGACGAAAGUCUUUAAUCAAUGUGUGUUACCAGUGAUGACUUACGGCUCCGAAACGUGGUCUUUCACUAUCGGCCCCAUCUCAAAAUUCAAAGUCGCUCAACGAGCUAUGGAGAGGGCUAUGCUCGGAGUUUCUCUGCGUGAUCGAAUCAGAAAUGAGGAGAUCCGUAGACGAACUAAAGUCACCGACAUAGCCCACCGGAUUAGCAGGCUGAA
Long non-coding RNA from Cydia fagiglandana, 1635 nucleotides. RefSeq lists it as uncharacterized. The record is from RefSeq and is a predicted model, not a curated record. The transcript is spliced from 3 exons. Lineage: Eukaryota; Metazoa; Arthropoda; Insecta; Lepidoptera; Tortricidae.